This 163-nucleotide ribosomal RNA is filed under the name uncultured bacterium. Its description in RNAcentral is "partial 16S ribosomal RNA". It matches the Rfam family "Bacterial small subunit ribosomal RNA", at positions 349 to 509 of the family's 1533-position model. The record is from RNAcentral.
CAGCAGUGAGGAAUAUUGGUCAAUGGGCGAGAGCCUGAACCAGCCAAGUAGCGUGAAGGAUGACUGCCCUAUGGGUUGUAAACUUCUUUUAUAAAGGAAUAAAGUCGGGUAUGGAUACCCGUUUGCAUGUACUUUAUGAAUAAGGAUCGGCUAACUCCGUGCC